This 253-nucleotide ribosomal RNA is filed under the name uncultured bacterium. RNAcentral describes it as "partial 16S ribosomal RNA". It matches the Rfam family "Bacterial small subunit ribosomal RNA", at positions 524 to 776 of the family's 1533-position model. The record is from RNAcentral.
UACGGAGGAUGCAAGCGUUAUCCGGAAUGAUUGGGCGUAAAGCGUCCGCAGGUGGCUAUGUAAGUCUGCUGUUAAAGAGUCUAGCUCAACUAGAUAAGAGCAGUGGAAACUACAUGGCUAGAGUGCGUUCGGGGCAGAGGGAAUUCCUGGUGUAGCGGUGAAAUGCGUAGAGAUCAGGAAGAACACCGGUGGCGAAAGCGCUCUGCUAGGCCGCAACUGACACUGAGGGACGAAAGCUAGGGGAGCGAAUGGG